Molecule: ribosomal RNA, 393 nt
Filed under: uncultured bacterium
Lineage: Bacteria
Description: partial 16S ribosomal RNA
Rfam family: Bacterial small subunit ribosomal RNA
Source: RNAcentral
AUACGGAGGAUGCGAGCGUUAUCCGGAUUUAUUGGGUUUAAAGGGAGCGUAGGUGGGAUAUUAAGUCAGCUGUGAAAGUUUGGGGCUCAACCUUAAAAUUGCAGUUGAUACUGGUUUCCUUGAGUACGGUAUAGGUGGGCGGAAUUCGUGGUGUAGCGGUGAAAUGCUUAGAUAUCACGAAGAACUCCGAUCGCGAAGGCAGCUCACCGGGCCGGAACUGACACUGAUGCUCGAAAGUGCGGGUAUCAAACAGGAUUAGAUACCCUGGUAGUCCGCACAGUAAACGAUGAAUACUCGCUGUUUGCGAUACACGGUAAGCGGCCAAGCGAAAGCGUUAAGUAUCCCACCUGGGGAGUACGCCGGCAACGGUGAAACUCAAAUGAAUUGACGGGG